CCUCCAAUUUGGCGCCCAUUAAUCAAAGCUUAUCAAAAUUAUCUUUGAAACAAUUUUUAUGAAAAUCAUCAAAAGUGUCAUAAAUAGUUUUCUUCAGUUCAGAACAUAUUAAAUUAUUGACUAAACUCAUGCAAACAAAAUAUUUUUGAAUGUUAGCUGAAAGAUGAUUUGAAAAUUUUUGAAGACAUUUACAGUUCAUUUGACUGGAAACAAAUUUACUGGUCCUACUAGAUGUUUCAAUCAAAAUUUGCAAAUUUUGAUGACAAACAAGUUUUUAACAAAUAUUUUGAACCAUUCGUUUUCAAGCAGAGCCUUUUUUAUUAAUUAAUCAGUGUAAAUUUAGUCAAGAUAUUCUCUAAAAUUUUUAUUGCAAAAUAGCAAUGUGGAAAUCACAAAUUUUUCAUCAAUCAACAAAAACUUGAAAUAUAUCAAAGACUUUUCAAUUAAUUUCUAAAGAAUUACAAUAACCCUUAAAAUUGGAAGCUUUCUGCACAAUUAUUGGUAUCUUAAUGAAAGAAUUAUUUACAAAAAUUGCUAUUUUUUUUCAAGAACUUUAUAAUUAAAUUUAAUUUUACGGUGGAAGAAAAGGUUCAUCGGAAAUCUGUGAAAAGUAAGUUAACCAUAUAUAUUUUCGAUGGAAUAUAGUUUAAAAGCCAUCAAAUGAACAUGAAAAAAAUAAACCAGGCAAACAUUUUGAAAGGAGGUCUUAUCUUAACAAAAAUCUUGAACAGGUCUAAAUAGUUAGAUUCAACCUUUCUACUUCAAUCUUUUUUGAAAAACCAAACAAGUUUCAAAUAGUGUAGAAUGUUCUAUAUGUUAUUAAAAAUGUAUUGCAGAUUCUUAAAUUAUGUCUGCUCUGAGAAUUUUCGGCUAGGUUUAUAAAUUUAAACAUUAUCGAAGUUAUGAAAAAAAUACACAACAUUCUGUUAAACCACAACCACAAGAUAAAGCAAGAGCUCUGCUCGGAA
Long non-coding RNA from Aedes aegypti (yellow fever mosquito), 968 nucleotides. RefSeq lists it as uncharacterized. The record is from RefSeq and is a predicted model, not a curated record. The transcript has 2 exons. NCBI's taxonomy places the organism in Eukaryota, Metazoa, Arthropoda, Insecta, Diptera, Culicidae.